UGAAGUCGGAAUUGCUAGUAAUCGCAGAUCAGCAUGCUGCGGUGAAUACGUUCCCGGGCCUUGUACACACCGCCCGUCACACCAUGGGAGUCCGGUAACACCCGAAGUCGGUAGCCUAACCGUAAGGAGGGCGCCGCCGAAGGUGGGAUUGAUGACUGGGGUGAAGUCGUAACAAGGUACC
This 181-nucleotide ribosomal RNA is filed under the name uncultured bacterium. RNAcentral's name for it is "partial 16S ribosomal RNA". It matches the Rfam family "Bacterial small subunit ribosomal RNA", at positions 1321 to 1500 of the family's 1533-position model. The record is from RNAcentral.